GUGCUUGCUUUGGCAGCACAUAUACUAAAAUUGGAAAGAUACAGAGAAGACUAGCAUGUCUCCUGUGCAAGGAUGGCAUGUAGACUUGGGAAGUGUUUCAUAUUUUU
Molecule: small nuclear RNA, 107 nt
Organism: Grammomys surdaster
Lineage: Eukaryota; Metazoa; Chordata; Mammalia; Rodentia; Muridae
Source: RefSeq, a predicted model, not a curated record